UGUUCUGAUAGUGGCACCUGUGGGAUUUAGCACUCCUUUUAUCUCUAAGGCCAAUGCAGCAGUGCUUUAGUCCUUUAGUCUGUCCAGUCCUGUACACUCUAUACAUUCUGCUCAAACAGGUCAGGUUCUAAAGCUUACAUUUUCAUGCCAAUGCUUCAUGCUAAUCAUCUCAUAGCUUGAAUGGGGUCUCUGCCUUAUUUCAGCACAAUGGUGUUGUAUAGCUGUAUUGAAUUCUGAGUUUAACAUUUUCAGUCUCUACUACUUCUACAUUGGAUUUAUCUUUAAAAAGACACUGAACAUCGCUGGGAAAUGGGUCACGGGGAGCCCGGACCCUAUCCCAGGGAACUUGGGGCACAAGGCAUGGGACACCUUGGACGGGGUACCAACACACCCAUUCAAACACCACAGGAGAUUUGGAAAUGUCAAUCAUGUCUUUGGACUGGAAGUACCUGGAGAAAACCCCAGAAGCAUGAGCAGUGUGCUUGACGAGGACAGCUGCGGUGCAGCCCGUCGGAGGGAGAGACUUCAGAGCCAGGUGAAUUCCCGAGCAGACGGUUUGAUCUCGAAUACAUGUAUUCCAUCUCUUCUCUGUCACUGGGGAACUAGGCGUCAAGGUCAGAACUCAAAGACAAGUGUGCACGGCAGGAGACGCUCGGCGGCGAGCCAUCGCACACUCUUGCUCUGGCCCUUUGCUUUUGUGCGCAUCAUUGCAGCAUCAGAAGCGCUAGACUGACACUAGUGAAGUCCCUGGGUAGCAGCCAUCACUACCUGUUUCUCCAUCUCCCAGAAGAAGCAAGCUCUUGUUUUAAUUGCAUCAUUAAUAUCAUUACAGCUGAAGAGCCAAUUAUCGUCUCUGCUUUUCACCUGGGCUUUGUGUUCGUUAGACAAAGAAUGACUGUGUGUGACCUUACUGGUGAGGUGAAAUUCACCAUGACUGAGGGCUAAGGUCAAACCUCCAGUGCCAUCCAACUGAUACUGGGGAGAAAACAGUCGGGUGUAAAACCUGGAUGCUGCUACUAUUGGCUUUCCUUUGAAAGUCAAUCUUUGCACUUUUUUUUUUUUUCUUUUUUUUUUUCCCCUAACUAGUGUUGCUUUGCAGUUUUCUCACCAAGAUUAUUAUUAUUUUUUUACAAGCAGAUCUGGCAACAAUUUCGCCUUCCUGAAUUCUAUUGGCUCCAGUCAAAAGCUUAAGCUCCUGUGGCUGAGCCAAAAUAUCACAGUGCAGAUUUCAGUUAGCACCAAAUAAAAAGUGCUUUCUAGGAAGUAAACUAAUUAAGGUUAAUUAUCUAUAUUAAGUUUUUAUUUAAUUUUUUUAUUUUAUUUUAUUUUAAAUGUUAUAGUAGGGUAGAUGCAUAGACAGCAUUCGGGGACUUAAAACUGUUGCGCUGGUUGUCUUAACACGUCUACUCAAAUUAGCUUAAAUCCCGUUACCAUAUUUAGUCUGCAAACUGGCACGUGUCAUCAUGCAUCACAUCCCAACUCCUACUGUCAGGUUGUAUUGUCAAAUACGUCACCCCGGCUGUGUCACAUCAUGUUACAAUUAUGCAUAGAUUCUAGCACGGAGUCUGACACCAUUUUGAAGUGCACUCAUGACAUUUUUUUCAUUCACUUUGUUUCACACAUUUGUCAUUUUAUACUAUUUAUCAACAUCUUGUGGUAUUUUAAUGAUUUGGCCUGCCAGCUGAAAAGAAUGACAUCCUCUCAAGAAUAUACAAGUUAGACUAGUCCUACAUAUUUUAUACCACGUCCUCGGUCUGAAAUAUUGCCUUUCCUUUUUUAAGCCUCUCAGUGUUAUUGGACCUAUUUUCAAACAUGUGUUAAAUAUAUGAUGUGUGUGCUCCAUCAUUCACAUCACAUCAAGGACCACAGUGUGUCUGUCCAAGAAAAAUUAGCUAGUGGACUGCUAUAACUGAUGGAAAGUUGACAUCUCACACGUCUCCCCAUCUUGUCUUCUGAGCCUCCGGAUGACAAAUCCUAGACCUGGUGUGUAAUGAGUGUAGUUGACAUGUGACUAGUGUCUCAUUACAAACAGCUUUUUGGUGUGGAAACACCUCCCGGACCACACCAUUUUUCACAUCCGCUCUCUGGCUAAAAACAUUGAUGAAUAAAACAACAGAAAAGCAAUCAGUCUGAGCAAAGGGAUGUGUCGGAGAGUGAGUGAGAGCCACUCUGGUCAGUUGACAGAUCCAGACACUCUGUUAAAAAGAGCAUGACUACGCUACCACGUAGUUUGUAAUAAUAUAGUACAAAGGCAUGAGUGUACUUAUUUCCUCUUGGAAAACCAGAUUAAAACGUAGCUAAGUCUGAGUUUCAGACUUUCUCUGUUAUAUGUAGUAGUUGAUGAGGUAUAUCAUCUUAGGUGAUACUUUGCCAUCUUGUAAUAAUAUUCCUAAUGACAUAUAAAAUAGUUGAGCACAACAUUUUUAAGAUUUCGCAAUAUUAUAUGUCAAAUAUAAUGAUUUAUAUCAAAUGCAGAAUUGUGCCCCAAGCACCAGAGCUCCAUAUUCUAAUGAAUAAUUCAACUGUAAUUCAGUUAUUCCCUAUGGCAUCUGUUUCCUGGAAGCUUAAUUAAUUUACAUUUCAUUCACUGUGUGACCCCAUAAUCAAAUUAGACUUAUAUGACAAAUGAACACAUCUGUAAAAGUAUCAAUCUUGUGCCUUUCUUAGGGGGGGAAAAAUCUCUUAUUUGGUUUCCGGUUUGGAAUCACACACAUUUCAACCCAUACACUUUCUUUCUUUUGUAUUUUGUCCUAGAUUGUGCAGUGGUGCUAGUUUUUAUAAGAUGACACCACCACUGUGGUCAAUACACAGGAGUGGAAAAUCAGUAAUUAUACUGUGACUGUGUCCAGAGAGAAUCAUCAGCUUAUGAAAACUCAUAACCACAGGCCAUGCAAGUCCUGUGAUAGAAUGAUAGAAGGCCUCAAACACAGCGAGUGACAGAGAGAAAAGCCGAGAAGCAGGGAGAGAGAAAGAGAGUAGACAGAAAGAGCUUUCUCUACGGAGGGUGGAAUCAAUCUGGAGGCCGACUCAAUCUUUCAGUCUUAUCUAGCAUGCUGGUGCAGACCACAGCUCCAGAUUGCAGAUGAUCUACAUGCCUUUAUGUAAGUGCAGCUAAUCUGUCACGGCUUCUGGGAGGUGGAGAGAGACGCAUAGCGCUGUGGUGCUUCAUCAACCUGAUGCAGCUUUUUCCUGAGGCCUUAUACACUGCACAGCUAGUCUAAAUGAGACCUGUCCACCAAGCUGCUAUUACUUCUUUACUAAUCAACGUGUAAAUAAAAUAGAAUGAAUAGUGUAUAUAUAGCAGUGGUACUCGAAGAUGGGAGCUGCUGAAUGUUAUAAGUAAGAUGGAUUAGUUGAACCUGUAAAUGUUUCAAAUAUGAUAAAACAAUGAAAAAUGUCAAAUGCGCAAAUAUUUGAUUCUUUACAGCUUUAGAUAUAUAAUUAGGCCGAAACACCGUCGGAAAAUUGCAUGCAGAUAGAGUACAUGAGCUAUUCAACUGUAAACUGAAAUCUGUACUAUAGCCCUGAAGGAAUUUAUGGAAUUUCUGAUAAGUGUUAGAAAGCAAGAAUCUAAUUAAACAUUACAAAAAACAAUCAUGACAUGAAAAUAUAAAUUUACAUCAAUUAUUAUCAUAAGAGCAGCUUGGACUUUUUAGGAUUGUUGUGUAUUUAAUUUUAUGCACCUACAGUAUUUUUUUGUAUAUUAGGUAGAGGUUUUAUUUGUAGUGGGUGGGGCUAAUGGAACUGUGGACAAAUGUAUGGAGGGCUCUGUAAAAAAAUAUAACAAUAAUAUUAAAUACUGUAUAAUAUUUAUUAUUAUUAUUAUUAUUAUUAGUUAUUACAUUUAAUAUAGUAAUUUUAUCUUCCAAUGCAAUCAUAGUUUCUCCUGUUUAAUAGAAAUUUUAUGUAUAUAUCAAUCAAUCUUGGUGUAAUGGUCUGCUAUAGUGGUCAGUAUACUAGAACUUUGAAAUCAUCAUUCGGUACCUCGUUUCAAUUAAAACAAACACCUCUCCAACUACAUGUUGGUGUUCUCUAAGCUGUCAUUUAUUCACCUUUACUGUUUAAUCACAGUAACUGCUCUGUUUGCAAAAAUGAUCUCACAGACCUUUAAGACGCCAAUGACCACUUCUAACUAGUGCCUCAUAUGUAUGUAUCCACAUUCAUCCCUUAUUAUAUUCUCCUACUUUCUUGGG
This is a long non-coding RNA of Ictalurus punctatus (channel catfish), 4193 nucleotides long. RefSeq lists it as uncharacterized. Lineage: Eukaryota; Metazoa; Chordata; Actinopteri; Siluriformes; Ictaluridae. The transcript has 3 exons. The record is from RefSeq and is a predicted model, not a curated record.